UUAUUUUAAAAUUUUCGGAUUAUUUUUGAUACUUGUAUUGACGGAUGUAUACAUUUUCCAAUAAGGAACCUAUGGCCUGGUGUUAGCAAAUUUUAAGUUCACGUGUUUUUAUUUUUUAUAAUUGCCAUGAUUUUCUUUUUAUAACUUUUUAUGAUUUAUUUUAACCAUUUUUGUACCUUUUAUUUAAUCCAAUAUUUUUUAAAUACUUGUUGAUUUUAUUUUUUCCAUUUUAAAUUUUUAAGUGUGUUGUAAAUAACUUUUUA
This 263-nucleotide long non-coding RNA is filed under the name Lathyrus oleraceus (garden pea). Its description in RNAcentral is "Pisum sativum (pea) long non-coding RNA (PSAT_LNC009472)". Lineage: Eukaryota; Viridiplantae; Streptophyta; Magnoliopsida; Fabales; Fabaceae. The record is from RNAcentral.